Molecule: ribosomal RNA, 253 nt
Filed under: uncultured bacterium
Lineage: Bacteria
Description: partial 16S ribosomal RNA
Rfam family: Bacterial small subunit ribosomal RNA
Source: RNAcentral
UACGAGAGGCCCAAACGUUAUUCGGAAUUACUGGGCUUAAAGAGUUCGUAGGCGGCGCAGAAAGUAGGGUGUGAAAGCCCUCGGCUCAACCGAGGAAUUGCGCUCUAAACUACUGUGCUUGAGGAACCUAGAGGUGAGCAGAACUGAUGGUGGAGCGGUGAAAUGCGUUGAGAUCGGAAGGAACGCCCGUGGCGAAAGCGAGGUCCUGGACGCCUACUGACGCUGAGACGCGAAAGCCAGGGGAGCGAACGGG